GAUGAAGAACGCAGCGAAAUGCGAUAAGUAAUGCGAAUUGCAGAAUUCAGUGAGUCAUCGAAUCUUUGAACGCACAUUGCGCCCUGUGGUAUUCCGCAGGGCAUGCCUGUUCGAGCGUCAUUUCAACCCUCAAGCUCUGCUUGGUGUUGGGCCCUGCCCGCUGCGGCCGGCCCUAAAGACAGUGGCGGUGCCGCCUGGCCCUGAGCGUAGUACAUCUCUCGCUCCAGUGCCCGGUGGUAGCCUGCCAGAACCCCAACUCUCGUGGUUGACCUCGGAUCAGGUAGGGAUACCCGCUGAGCUUAAGCAUAUCAAUAAGCGGAGGA
Molecule: unclassified non-coding RNA, 323 nt
Filed under: soil metagenome
Description: partial contains 5.8S ribosomal RNA, internal transcribed spacer 2, and large subunit ribosomal RNA
Rfam family: 5.8S ribosomal RNA (bases 1-120)
Source: RNAcentral